RNAcentral lists this ribosomal RNA (34 nucleotides) under Cloacina dryope. Its description in RNAcentral is "partial 18S ribosomal RNA". The record is from RNAcentral. Lineage: Eukaryota; Metazoa; Nematoda; Chromadorea; Rhabditida; Strongylidae.
CAAGGUAUCUGUAGGUGAACCUGCAGAUGGAUCA